UACAGAGCGGCAGACGGGUGAGUAACGCGUGGGAACAUACCCUCCGGUUCGGAAUAACUCGGGGAAACUUGAGCUAAUACCGGAUACGGUCGAGAGGCGAAAGAUUUAUCGCCGGAGGAUUGGCCCGCGUUCGAUUAGCUAGUUGGUGAGGUAAUGGCUCACCAAGGCGACGAUCGAUAGCUGGUCUGAGAGGAUGAUCAGCCACAUUGGGACUGAGACACGGCCCAA
Molecule: ribosomal RNA, 228 nt
Filed under: uncultured bacterium
Lineage: Bacteria
Description: partial 16S ribosomal RNA
Rfam family: Bacterial small subunit ribosomal RNA
Source: RNAcentral